AUUGAACGCUGGCGGCAGGCCUAACACAUGCAAGUCGAGCGGAUGACGGGAGCUUGCUCCUUGAUUCAGCGGCGGACGGGUGAGUAAUGCCUAGGAAUCUGCCUGGUAGUGGGGGACAACGUUUCGAAAGGAACGCUAAUACCGCAUACGUCCUACGGGAGAAAGCAGGGGACCUUCGGGCCUUGCGCUAUCAGAUGAGCCUAGGUCGGAUUAGCUAGUUGGUGGGGUAAUGGCUCACCAAGGCGACGAUCCGUAACUGGUCUGAGAGGAUGAUCAGUCACACUGGAACUGAGACACGGUCCAGACUCCUACGGGAGGCAGCAGUGGGGAAUAUUGGACAAUGGGCGAAAGCCUGAUCCAGCCAUGCCGCGUGUGUGAAGAAGGUCUUCGGAUUGUAAAGCACUUUAAGUUGGGAGGAAGGGCAGUAAGUUAAUACCUUGCUGUUUUGACGUUACCGACAGAAUAAGCACCGGCUAACUCUGUGCCAGCAGCCGCGGUAAUACAGAGGGUGCAAGCGUUAAUCGGAAUUACUGGGCGUAAAGCGCGCGUAGGUGGUUUGUUAAGUUGGAUGUGAAAGCCCCGGGCUCAACCUGGGAACUGCAUCCAAAACUGGCAAGCUAGAGUACGGUAGAGGGUGGUGGAAUUUCCUGUGUAGCGGUGAAAUGCGUAGAUAUAGGAAGAAACACCAGUGGCGAAGGCGACCACCUGGACUGAUACUGACACUGAGGUGCGAAAGCGUGGGGAGCAAA
This 749-nucleotide ribosomal RNA is filed under the name uncultured bacterium. Its description in RNAcentral is "bacterial SSU rRNA". It matches the Rfam family "Bacterial small subunit ribosomal RNA", at positions 28 to 772 of the family's 1533-position model. The record is from RNAcentral.